This 74-nucleotide transfer RNA is filed under the name Methanonatronarchaeia archaeon. Its description in RNAcentral is "tRNA-Met". It matches the Rfam family "tRNA". From Rfam's summary of the family: Transfer RNA (tRNA) molecules are approximately 80 nucleotides in length. RNAcentral also lists the same sequence under 2 other names. The record is from RNAcentral. Lineage: Archaea; Methanobacteriati; Methanobacteriota; Methanonatronarchaeia.
GCCGGGGUGGCUUAGCUGGUUAGAGCGCUGCACUCAUAAUGCAGAGGUCACGGGUUCGAAGCCCGUCCCCGGCA